Molecule: ribosomal RNA, 65 nt
Filed under: Fusarium solani
Lineage: Eukaryota; Fungi; Ascomycota; Sordariomycetes; Hypocreales; Nectriaceae
Description: partial 18S ribosomal RNA
Rfam family: Eukaryotic small subunit ribosomal RNA
Source: RNAcentral
GUGGUUUUUGGGGAAGUAAAAGUCGUAACAAGGUCUCCGUUGGUGAACCAGCGGAGGGAUCAUUA